CAAAGUUAAUUUUAAUUAUGUGCAUUUCUCAUGUUCACUAUCUGCAACAUCUAAGGGGCCCUGGUUAUGACAGCCCUGUUUAAACUAGUGACUGCUAAGUAAAUUGAAAGUUAUAAGUGUCCUGGAUUUAAUGUACAUAAAGCAACUAAGCAUGUAAACAUUAAUUAUAGGGCAUUAUAAGGUAAAAUAAAUUAUAUUUUUCUAGGCACUUUCAAGAAUCCCAGUUUGAGCAAAAUCGCGCAGAUGGCUGGAUGAAGCUGAAGCAGAAGACUGCCAUUUCAACAGUGUUUGCACGUUCUAAUCGCAAGAGAAGGAAAUCACCAAUGAUGCGAAAUGCUCCAUUACCAAAGGUACUUUGUCAAGAGUAACAAACGAUAUCUGGGAGACGCUGAUGGACGCUGCGUCUAGUCAACGACCGUAGGUUGUGCACGGCUGCCGGAGCACCUUCGGGAAACGCUAACCGCCGAUUCAAGCCUGCACAGCAGUGACUGGAGAUACAGCAACCUUGUAUGAAAAGUGCCGAUAAGACAGUGCAGCCAACAGAAGGUGUAAGUUGACCAAAGUGAAAUAAGUUUUUAAUCACCCUCGUACGACAUGGAUCCUUCGUAACGUCUGCGUUCUGGCUCCAACCAUACUUAUUCAUUGUUUAGUUUACUUCAUGAGCCAAUCUUAGUAACGGAAUACAUAUAGCAUUUACACCAAGACACUCUUUGUGGCUUUGUUUUAAAAAAUGAAAGUUACAUUAAAGCGGUUUUGCGCAGGUGAGGUAUACGGCCAAGGGAACAUAGUAUAGGGGGCUAAUUGUAACGAUCAGUUGGCUAAUUAAGUAAAAUUCGUUAAUUAACUUUUUAAUAAAUGAAAAUAGACAUGUGGUUCCAAUUAGAAACUUGUUCAGCGUCACCUAAGGCCACUAUAUCAACUCUUUUUCGAAAGAUAUAACGCAGGGGCUGUAUAUUACAGCGUUCCAUGAAAACGCUCAAUGUGGACGCGUUUCUAGGUUUCGAUUUGUUAUUGCAGUGCAUCUCUGCUCCCACGGUCCUGCUCGACAGUGGCUGAGAUGUGCAACACAGUUGCGCCCAACUUCCCUCUAUGCUACAAGCACCCCAGGAGCUACUAUCGCCCGAAGAUGUCACAGGUGGUCAUGAUUCUUUGAGGCAGCGGAAUUUCACCGCAGUGCAUCUUUAACACCUUCAGUUUCUUUUCUACUGCAAGCCUGGUACUACAGCUUGUGGCCCGUGUAGAAGAAUAGAGGGGUGAAACCAAGGCUCAAGUGACUGUGGACUCAUGGCCCUCAGACAGCUAGAGCACCAGACCAGGCACAGACCAGAGCCAUUUAUGCUCCACUUCUAGAGGACAUGUUGCAGUUUGAAACUACCAAGACUCAUGGAAGCUGCUGACAGGAGGCUGUUGAAGCCGUGGUCGCAAGGCACCCAUGACAUUGAAGUCUUCCAAACAAGGCACUAUGAAGGCAUGACUUGUAGCGGCACUGGAGCAAGCGACACGGUCCGGGUGAGCCGCAAGUGUAACUGUUACACUGUAAACAGGAAAUAUAGACAUGUGUCCGACAAAGCACAGACUCAUAAAACUUUCAUGUAGCAAUAAUAGUUUAAUUUAACUAAACAGUGCAUCAACAGAGCCUGACCCAAGAAUGGGGAAUUGGGGAACCGGCCAAUGUGUAGAGUCUAACAGAAACAAGGAAGGCGAUAAAAACAAAUGGGGCAACAUGUUAAGAUAGGACAAUAAUGUCGUGCCUAUUUUUUGUUUUCAAUUAAGAUUUUAUAGGAGCUAGCAAAAUAUGUCCUUGCAAUGGAAUAGACCUACUUUUACAAAAAGACCUUCAAUGUUUUUGUUAAAAUAAAUUGCGUCUGAGGAGGUGGAAAUAUGAUUUUCCCAAUUGCGCAUUAACAUAUCUUUGAGCUCCACAGGGUAAUAAAACAUCCCGAAACGUAAAUAUUUUUAUGCAUGCUCAGAAGUUUUUUUUAAAUAUAGAAAAAGUCAAACAAUUUUUUUGUGAGAAUUCAAAGAUAUUGUCAUCCUCAAUUUUUUUUUUUCAUUUUCGUUAUUGAACACUUAGAAACAUGUAAUUCAGAAUCCACCACCAAGACCUGUUGUAUUCU
Ixodes scapularis (black-legged tick) is the source of this 2117-nucleotide long non-coding RNA. RefSeq lists it as uncharacterized. The record is from RefSeq and is a predicted model, not a curated record. The transcript is spliced from 6 exons. Lineage: Eukaryota; Metazoa; Arthropoda; Arachnida; Ixodida; Ixodidae.